This 274-nucleotide ribosomal RNA is filed under the name uncultured bacterium. Its description in RNAcentral is "partial 16S ribosomal RNA". It matches the Rfam family "Bacterial small subunit ribosomal RNA", at positions 523 to 796 of the family's 1533-position model. The record is from RNAcentral.
AUACAGAGGGUGCGAGCGUUAAUCGGAAUUACUGGGCGUAAAGCGCGCGUAGGCGGUCUAUUAAGUCAGAUGUGAAAUCCCAGGGCUCAACCUUGGAACUGCAUCUGAUACUGGUAGACUAGAGUUUUGGAGAGGGAAGUAGAAUUUCAGGUGUAGCGGUGAAAUGCAUAGAGAUCUGAAGGAAUACCAGUGGCGAAGGCGACUCCCUGGCCAAAAACUGACGCUGAGGUGCGAAAGCGUGGGUAGCAAACGGGAUUAGAUACCCUAGUAGUCC